GAUGAACGCUGGCGGCGUGCCUAAUACAUGCAAGUCGAGCGAACGGACGAGAAGCUUGCUUCUCUGAUGUUAGCGGCGGUCGGGUGAGUAACACGUGGAUAACCUACCUAUAAGACUGGGAUAACUUCGGGAAACCGGAGCUAAUACCGGAUAAUAUUUUGAACCGCAUGGUUCAAAAGUGAAAGACGGUCUUGCUGUCACUUAUAGAUGGAUCCGCGCUGCAUUAGCUAGUUGGUAAGGUAGCGGCUUACCAAGGCAACGAUGCAUAGCCGACCUGAGAGGGUGAUCGGCCACACUGGAACUGAGACACGGUCCAGACUCCUACGGGAGGCAGCAGUAGGGAAUCUUCCGCAAUGGGCGAAAGCCUGACGGAGCAACGCCGCGUGAGUGAUGAAGGUCUUCGGAUCGUAAAACUCUGUUAUUAGGGAAGAACAUAUGUGUAAGUAACUGUGCACAUCUUGACGGUACCUAAUCAGAAAGCCACGGCUAACUACGUG
RNAcentral lists this ribosomal RNA (497 nucleotides) under uncultured bacterium. RNAcentral describes it as "partial 16S ribosomal RNA". It matches the Rfam family "Bacterial small subunit ribosomal RNA", at positions 28 to 507 of the family's 1533-position model. The record is from RNAcentral.